RNAcentral lists this ribosomal RNA (173 nucleotides) under uncultured soil bacterium. Its description in RNAcentral is "partial 16S ribosomal RNA". It matches the Rfam family "Bacterial small subunit ribosomal RNA", at positions 337 to 524 of the family's 1533-position model. The record is from RNAcentral.
UCCUACGGGAGGCAGCAGUGAGGAAUUUUCCGCAAUGGGCGAAAGCCUGACGGAGCAAGACCGCGUGAGGGAAGAAGGCUGUUGGGUUGUAAACCUCUUUUGUUACAGAAGAAGAAAGUGACGGUAUCUGACGAAUCAGCCUCGGCUAACUCCGUGCCAGCAGCCGCGGUAAU